GGGUCGGUAGCUCAGCCUGGGAGAGCGCUACGCUGAAGCCGUAGAUGUCCUGGAUUCAAAUUCCAGCCGACCCA
Molecule: transfer RNA, 74 nt
Filed under: Candidatus Woesearchaeota archaeon
Lineage: Archaea; Nanobdellati; Candidatus Woesearchaeota
Description: tRNA-Phe
Rfam family: tRNA
About the family: Transfer RNA (tRNA) molecules are approximately 80 nucleotides in length.
Source: RNAcentral